Long non-coding RNA from Tripterygium wilfordii, 472 nucleotides. RefSeq lists it as uncharacterized. The transcript is spliced from 3 exons. NCBI's taxonomy places the organism in Eukaryota, Viridiplantae, Streptophyta, Magnoliopsida, Celastrales, Celastraceae. The record is from RefSeq and is a predicted model, not a curated record.
GGCUUGCUUCUUAUGAAAUAUAAUAUUUCUGCGUUUUGGAUUUUUGGUCUCUUGAUGUUUUAGUGAUCACUGAAGGGUGCAUGCUUUUUAUUUUAAUUAAUCACAAUUUCAAGAUGCCUGCUUUAUGUUCGUUUGGUUCCCAAGAAAUUGCAAGAAGACAAGCAGACGCUAAACAUCUGGAAUUUUUUUAAUAGAAUGCUCUUCUACAAUGAUUGGAUUUUGGUUUGAUUAUCAUGUCGCAGUAAAGAGAGGUGCGGAUACUUACAAUUAGAAUUCUGUUGCAUGGAAUCGAUUUAGAGACAGAUUCGAUGAAUGCUUUUAAGUGGGUUACAAACCAGCGUGAUCCCCGAUGGAAGCUUGCUCGACUGUCCAACUCUGUGCAACUGAUCAGGCUGCAGGUCCACAACUUGAUGUUUACACAUACAUUAAGGGGUGGCAACGAGGUGGCAGACGCACUAGCUAAGGAUGGAUG